Long non-coding RNA from Erigeron canadensis, 336 nucleotides. RefSeq lists it as uncharacterized. Lineage: Eukaryota; Viridiplantae; Streptophyta; Magnoliopsida; Asterales; Asteraceae. The transcript is spliced from 2 exons. The record is from RefSeq and is a predicted model, not a curated record.
UGCAUCAGCUAAAUAUUUGAAAUUAUUGGCAUUGAGAGUGGUUAAAUGAGAUCAUUCUCAGUUGAGUUCAAGGGGUUACUAUCCUUAUUAUAUUUCAGACUGAAUUGUAUAACGUGCAGCAAAAAUCUGAUCUAGAAGCUUUAAGAAAGUGCGUACGUGUUGGUUUGUAAGCUUUCAUCAUUCAGUAUCUAUUUUAUAUCCUGAAUAUAUUGUUUUAAAAAUUUCUGGUUGAAAUGGAAAGCCUUCAGUUGGAGCUGAUUUAAUCAACGGAAUUGUUGUAAUAUCUUAACUUACAAUGUUCAGUUUUAAUUUAUAAAAUGUUAUCUGGACAACUCA